GACGAGCGCUGGCGGCGUGCCUAAUACAUGCAAGUUGAGCGCUGAAGGUUGGUACUUGUACCAACUGGAUGAGCAGCGAACGGGUGAGUAACGCGUGGGGAAUCUGCCUUUGAGCGGGGGACAACAUUUGGAAACGAAUGCUAAUACCGCAUAAAAACUUUAAACACAAGUUUUAAGUUUGAAAGAUGCAAUUGCAUCACUCAAAGAUGAUCCCGCGUUGUAUUAGCUAGUUGGUGGGGUAAAGGCUCACCAAGGCGAUGAUACAUAGCCGACCUGAGAGGGUGAUCGGCCACAUUGGGACUGAGACACGGCCCAAACUCCUACGGGAGGCAGCAGUAGGGAAUCUUCGGUAAUGGACGAAAGUCUGACCGAGCAACGCCGCGUGAGUGAAGAAGGGUUUCGGAUCGUAAAACUCUGUUGGUAGAGAAGAACGUUGGUGAGAGUGGAAAGCUCAUCAAGUGACGGUAACUACCCAGAAAGGGACGGCUAACUACGUG
Molecule: ribosomal RNA, 497 nt
Filed under: uncultured bacterium
Lineage: Bacteria
Description: partial 16S ribosomal RNA
Rfam family: Bacterial small subunit ribosomal RNA
Source: RNAcentral